AAGUGACGGCUGAGUCAGUGAGAGGCCAAAAGCCAUGAUCUCUGUAGCUGUGCUAAGCAAGAAUUAUACAUAAAAUCACUGGGCUGUGCUUCAAAAAUGACUGAAUACAUGGAUUGAUUUAUAAAUAAAUAAAUGUAAUAUUAGGUAGGUAAAUACAUCAAUGGGUGGUUCUGUCUUUGAAUGUGUUUUUGUCAUCAACAAUAAUAAAAAAAAGUAAAUCAACGUCACAAUUAAAUGAAACUAACAGAGCGUGUGUUCAUGAGCCACUCCCUCCUCAUGAUGCCCUGAUGCAAAUCUUCAGUCUGUGCAGUGUACUUCUGUCCUGCUGACUGCUCUUGUACUUUGUGUGGAGCAUCAGAGGUCACAUCUCCAGCCUCAGGAUGAUGAACACACUCACUCUUCUGCUGGUUGCUUUCUCUCUGUCCUGUUGUACAGGUCAGAGUAUGGAGUCCAUUCCUUCCAGUUCAGUAGUGAAAAGGCCUGGGGAGACUCUCAGUCUGUCCUGCAGGGGAUCUGGCUUCACAUUCAGCUGCUGCGCUAUGAACUGGAUCAGACAACCUGCAGGAAAAGGACUGGAAUGGGUCGGGGUUGGCUACUCCAGCUCCAGUAGAAACACAUAUGCCAGCAGUGUGCGAGGACGUGCAGAAAUCAGUAGAGAUGAUAGCAGCAGCAUGGUGUAUCUGAGACUGUCCAACUUAAAGCCAGAGGACUCUGCUGUGUAUUACUGUGCCAGAGACACACACUGGUUAAAGGAAGCAGAGAAGCUUUACAAAAACUCCACAGAACAUUUGUUUCCAAAGACCUACAGGUGGCAGCAGAACAUAUGAAGUCAGAUGACACUAACUAAGGAGAGUAUGACAGUGACUCUAAACACUCACACAUACAUACAUGCAUCAUAUGAAAACAACAGCUGAUGUUGUGGUUUGUGACUUCCUGU
This is a non-coding RNA of Acanthopagrus latus (yellowfin seabream), 937 nucleotides long. The record is from the annotation of a RefSeq genome assembly. NCBI's taxonomy places the organism in Eukaryota, Metazoa, Chordata, Actinopteri, Spariformes, Sparidae.